This is a long non-coding RNA of Octodon degus (degu), 283 nucleotides long. RefSeq lists it as uncharacterized. The record is from RefSeq and is a predicted model, not a curated record. The transcript has 3 exons. Lineage: Eukaryota; Metazoa; Chordata; Mammalia; Rodentia; Octodontidae.
GCUUUCCAAGCAGGUCGGGCUGCCAAGCCCCAUCCGGGCCCCUGCUGGAGCCGAACAGCGGCCGCGCUGGCCGUCCCCAGUGCCCUCUUCCCCGACGUGAGCACUGCCCUCUACUCUCUGCUUCCUGUCUGCCAUGAGUCUGAACCAAGCGCAAGCUGCCCCGACCUUGGAGCACAAGAACUACAACUUCCAGAGUGCCCACUAAGGAGCCUGGGCAGAGAGCGGAGGUUCAACGCGACACACGCCGGGAAUUGAGGUCCAGCCAUAGCACCUCCCCCCCCCC